GAUGAACGCUGGCGGCGUGCCUAAUACAUGCAAGUCGAGCGAACAGACGAGGAGCUUGCUCCUCUGACGUUAGCGGCGGACGGGUGAGUAACACGUGGUAACCUACCUAUAAGACUGGGAUAACUUCGGGAAACCGGAGCUAAUACCGGAUAAUAUAUUGAACCGCAUGGUUCCAUAGUGAAAGACGGUUUUGCUGUCACUUAUAGAUGGAUCCGCGCCGCAUUAGCUAGUUGGUAAGGUAACGGCUUACCAAGGCAACGAUGCGUAGCCGACCUGAGAGGGUGAUCGGCCACACUGGAACUGAGACACGGUCCAGACUCCUACGGGAGGCAGCAGUAGGGAAUCUUCCGCAAUGGGCGAAAGCUUGACGGAGCAACGCCGCGUGAGUGAUGAAGGUCUUCGGAUCGUAAAACUCUGUUAUUAGGGAAGAACAAAUGUGUAAGUAACUAUGCACGUCUUGACGGUACCUAAUCAGAAAGCCACGGCUAACUACGUG
This 496-nucleotide ribosomal RNA is filed under the name uncultured bacterium. RNAcentral's name for it is "partial 16S ribosomal RNA". It matches the Rfam family "Bacterial small subunit ribosomal RNA", at positions 28 to 507 of the family's 1533-position model. The record is from RNAcentral.